CAUGCAAGUAGCAACGAGAAAGUUUCCUUCGGGAGAUGAGUACAGUGGCGAACUGGUUAGUAACAGGUGGGAAAUGUACCCCUUGGCUUGGGAUAACUCCUGGAAACAGGAGCUAAUACCAGAUGUGACUCACGGGUCUUCGGUCCUGUGGGUUAAAGAUGCUUCUUUUAUUAGUGGUGUCACCAAGAGAUCGUCCCGCCCCUGAUUAGCUUGACGGGGGGGUAAUGGCCUACCGUGGCGACAAUCAGUAGCUGGUCUGAGAGGAUGGUCAGCAACACUGGGACUGAGAUACGGCCCAGACUCCUACGGGAGGCAGCAGUCUAGAGGCUUCGGCAAUGGACGAAAGUCUGACCGAGCGACGCCGCGUGUGUGAUGAAGGCCUUCGGGUCGUAAAGCACUGUCAGCAGGGAAGAAGGUCUUGGUGGUGUCCCUCCAAGAUUUGACGGUACCUGCAGAGGAAGCUCCGGCUAACUCCGUGCCAGCAGCCGCGGUAAUACGGAGGGAGCAAGCGUUAUUCGGAUUUAUUGGGCGUAAAGCGCGUGUAGGCGGUGCGCUAAGUUGGACGUGAAAUCUCCCGGCCUAACUGGGAGGGGCCCUACAAUACUGGUGCACUUGAGGGCAGGAGAGGGAAGUGGAAUUCCCGGUGUAGCGGUGGAAUGCGUAGAUAUCGGGAGGAACACCCGUGGCGAAGGCGGCUUCCUGGUCUGUUCCUGACGCUGAGACGCGAAAGCUAGGGGAGCAAACGGGAUUAGAUACCCCGGUAGUCCUAGCUGUAAACGAUGGAUACUAGGUGUUGGUGGUAUUGACCCCAUCAGUGCCGUAGCUAACGCGUUAAGUAUCCCGCCUGGGGAGUACGACCGCAAGGUUAAAACUCAAAGGAAUUGACGGGGGCCCGCACAAGCAGCGGAGCGUGUGGUUUAAUUCGAUGCAACACGAAGAACCUUACCUGGGUUUGACAUGCUGGUGGUAGUGAAGCGAAAGCGGAACGACCUUCGGGGAGUCAGCACAGGUGCUGCAUGGCUAUCGUCAGCUCGUGCCGUGAGGUGUUGGGUUAAGUCCCGCAACGAGCGCAACCCUUGUCGCUAGUUAAAUAUCUCUAGCGAGACUGCCGGGAUACACCCGGAGGAAGGUGGGGAUGACGUCAAGUCCGCAUGGCCUUUAUGUCCAGGGCUACACACACGCUACAAUGGCCGGCACAGAGGGUUGCCAAGCCGUGAGGCGGAGCUAAUCUCACAAAGCCGGUCUCAGUUCGGAUUGAAGGCUGCAACUCGCCUUCAUGAAGCUGGAGUUGCUAGUAACCGCAGGUCAGCUAUACUGCGGUGAAUACGUUCCCCGGGCCUUGUACACACCGCCCGUCACGUCAUGGAAGCUGGCAACACCUGAAGACCAGUGAGC
RNAcentral lists this ribosomal RNA (1395 nucleotides) under uncultured Candidatus Sumerlaeota bacterium. RNAcentral describes it as "uncultured candidate division BRC1 bacterium 16S ribosomal RNA". It matches the Rfam family "Bacterial small subunit ribosomal RNA". Lineage: Bacteria; Candidatus Sumerlaeota. The record is from RNAcentral.